Molecule: long non-coding RNA, 2026 nt
Organism: Betta splendens (Siamese fighting fish)
Lineage: Eukaryota; Metazoa; Chordata; Actinopteri; Anabantiformes; Osphronemidae
Source: Ensembl
AUGAUUGAAAGCUGUCAUGAUAAGGGAUGUUUGUUUUUAUCCAGGCACACAGAGAGGAGCAAGGGAAUGAGCACCACCUUCCUCCUCAGUACUGUCCCCGGACCAGGUGGACCUGCUGCUGGUACUCAGGGUGUCCCAUCACAGUCUCGGAAGGUGAACCCUGUGCUACCUCAGAGGCUGUUGCAGCACCCUCAACCUGAAGACCCCUCAGGGCUGGCAACCACACACCGUGGGCCUGUGGCACCGGCCCUGUAUGCCCUGAUCGUCUUUCCUGCCAUGACCUCUGCAGCCUCCACCACCAUCACUGCUUCUCCUGACACAAUCACCACUAUCACCCACCAUGCCAUCUCCAUCACCGCUGCUGCGCCUGCUGCUGCGCCUGCUGCUGCGCCUGCUGCUGCGCCUGCUGCUGCUGCUGCGCCUGCUGCUGCUGCUGCUGCUGCUGCUGCUGCUGCUGCUGCUGCUGCUGCUGCUGCUCCUGCUGCACCUGCUGCUGCUCUUGCUGCCGCCGCCGCCGUUCCUCGCUCCACAGCCUGGCAGAGGAGGAUUAGAGAGGAGGAGCUGCGUCGUCAGCGAGAAAGGGGUCUCCCUCUUAAAGAGAGGAAGAUCUUUACACACUUCCGCUGUGGCCGCUGUGGUCAGCCCAAGACCAAACAGUAUGGCCACAGCCGCUACAGGGGAGAGUUCUUCUGUGCCACAUCGGAGGGUCGCUCUGUGGAUGACUGGUUGAAAGAGAAGAGACGACUGGACCCGAAAUACCAGCAGCCGCGCAGGUUAAUGAUGAGGAUCGAACAUGAUCGUAUUGAUCCAUCAUGCCACAUCUAGUGAGAGAGUAGAACAUUUGAUCAGAUCUGUGUGUCCCUCACUGUCAGACACUCGCCCAAUCACCAGCUCCCGAUCACUUCACCUUGACACUCGCCCAAUCACCAGCUCCCAAUCACUUCACCUUUAUUCCAGGGAGACGAUCGUUCAGGGUAAAAGGCCCAUCUCCUGCCGACGGCCCCAGGUGGUCUAGGCGGCUCACAAUACACAUUGUAUAUCCUGUAGGUGUGACUCUGUGGGGGGCAGGUAGGAGCCCCAUAAAGGCUGGCUGGAUGAGGCUGUUGGUCUCGUCAAGGUCUAGUCUCAGGCUGCAACAACUUUGGGGAAGUCCACAAAAAAGAAAUGGAAAACUUUGGAAGGUGAGGUCUAACUGGAUUCUUUAUCUUCUUCUUUUUGCUAUCAACUGUAUAUGUGUUCAGCCCUUCAUUAAUCAUUACAUGUUGAACUAUUAUUUACAGAACAGCACCUUUGAUAAAACACAUAGAGAGAAAAAGGAGCCAGGAGUAUACAGAAGGUUUGUAUUUUUUUACUGCACUCAAUAUUAACUUGUAUUUUUCAUUACAUUACAGCAAUGAUGUGAUUGACAUGCUUCUGGUUUUACUUAGAAACAUCAAGGGUAUCUUCUGAGGACGAAUCCCUUGCCUGGCACUCCCCAUGGAGAUCAUCAUCCUCCUCACCCGCCACAAGCACUGCCAACAUUGCUUUUCCAGAGGCUGCCACCGCCGCUGCCACCACCGCCACCGCCGCUGCCACCACCGCCGCCGCCAACGCUGCCGCCGCUGCCGCCGCUGCCGCCGCUGCUUCACUACAAGAACAUGCUGCUUGCUUAAAAAAGGAGGAAGGGCGCCAACAACAGCGCCAAGAGGAGCCCCAAGAAGAGCUCCAAGAGGAGCCCCAAGAGGAGCCCCAAGAAGAGACCCACGAAGAGCGCCAAAGCCAAUGCCGAAAUUGUGGACUUCCCAGGACCCUGUCGAAGGGGCAUGCCUUUUACAAAGGGCAUUUCUACUGCACACACACUGCAGGGCCUGGGGCAAAGUCUGCCAAUGAGUGGCUGAAGGAGCAGGAAGAAAAGGAAGCACCAAAAAUUCCCAGGACAACUGCCUUCACCAUGAGGAAAAAGUGGGAGAAUGAGCACAGUUUCAAACCUCCAGAAAACAGAAGGAAGCCGAAUAAACUUAGAAUCUGCCAGCUGUGUGGCCUGCCA